RNAcentral lists this ribosomal RNA (697 nucleotides) under Agrobacterium tumefaciens. RNAcentral's name for it is "bacterial SSU rRNA". It matches the Rfam family "Bacterial small subunit ribosomal RNA", at positions 83 to 816 of the family's 1533-position model. Lineage: Bacteria; Pseudomonadati; Pseudomonadota; Alphaproteobacteria; Hyphomicrobiales; Rhizobiaceae. The record is from RNAcentral.
GUCGCCUGGGGAGUCCUUUACGGGCGAGUAACGCGUGCCAAAGCGCCCUUUCCUGUGGAAGAUCUCCGGGAAACCCGUAUUGCGUCUGCGUACGCCCUUCGGGGGAAAGGUUGCUCUUCCGCGGAUUGGCCCGCGUUGGACGCGUAGUUGGUGGGGUAAAGGCCUACCAAGGCGACGGUCCAUAGCUGGUCGUUAAGGAUGAUCGCCCACGUUGGUUCUGAGCCAGGAUCAAACUCUAAACGGGAGGCAGCAGUGGGGAAUAUUGGACAAUGGGCGCAAGCCUGAUCCAGCCAUGCCGCGUGAGUGAUGAAGGCCUUAGGGUUGUAAAGCUCUUUCACCGAUGAAGAUAAUGACGGUAGUCGGAGAAGAAGCCCCGGCUAACUUCGUGCCAGCAGCCGCGGUAAUACCAAGGGGGCUAGCGUUGUUCGGAAUUACUGGGCGUAAAGCGCACGUAGGCGGAUAUUUAAGUCAGGGGUGAAAUCCCGCAGCUCAACUGCGGAACUGCCUUUGAUACUGGGUAUCUUGAGUAUGGAAGAGGUAAGUGGAAUUCCGAGUGUAGAGGUGAAAUUCGUAGAUAUUCGGAGGAACACCAGUGGCGAACGCGGCUUACUGGUCCAUUACUGACGCUGACGUGCGAAAGCGUGUGGAGCAAACAGGAUUAGAUACCCUGGUAGUCCACGCCGUAAACGAUGAAUGU